RNAcentral lists this ribosomal RNA (440 nucleotides) under uncultured bacterium. RNAcentral describes it as "partial 16S ribosomal RNA". It matches the Rfam family "Bacterial small subunit ribosomal RNA", at positions 338 to 795 of the family's 1533-position model. The record is from RNAcentral.
CCUACGGGAGGCUGCAGUAGGGAAUAUUGCUCAAUGGGGGAAACCCUGAAGCAGCAACGCCGCGUGGAGGAUGAAGGUUUUCGGAUUGUAAACUCCUUUUGUUAGAGAAGAUAAUGACGGUAUCUAACGAAUAAGCACCGGCUAACUCCGUGCCAGCAGCCGCGGUAAUACGGAGGGUGCAAGCGUUAUCCGGAUUUACUGGGCGUAAAGAGCGCGUAGACGGGGAAGCAAGGCAGAUGUGAAAUCCUAGGGCUUAACCAUAGAACUGCCUUUGAAACUGGUAUUCUAGAGUAUGGGAGAGGUAGGUGGAAUGCGUGGUGUAGGGGUAAAAUGCAUAGAGAUCAAGAAGAAUACUGAUUGCGAAGGCAACCUGCUGGAACGUAACUGACGCUGAUGCUCGAAAGCGUGGGGAGCAAACAGGAUUAGAUACCCGUGUAGUC